UGGGGAAUUUUGGACAAUGGGCGAAAGCCUGAUCCAGCAAUGCCGCGUGUGUGAAGAAGGCCUUCGGGUUGUAAAGCACUUUUGUCCGGAAAGAAAUCCUUGUCUCUAAUACAGUCGGGGGAUGACGGUACCGGAAGAAUAAGCACCGGCUAACUACGUGCCAGCAGCCGCGGUAAUACGUAGGGUGCAAGCGUUAAUCGGAAUUACUGGGCGUAAAGCGUGCGCAGGCGGUUUGCUAAGACCGAUGUGAAAUCCCCGGGCUCAACCUGGGAACUGCAUUGGUGACUGGCAGGCUAGAGUAUGGCAGAGGGGGGUAGAAUUCCACGUGUAGCAGUGAAAUGCGUAGAGAUGUGGAGGAAUACCGAUGGCGAAGGCAGCCCCCUGGGCCAAUACUGACGCUCAUGCACGAAAGCGUGGGGAGCAAAACAGGAUUAGAUACCCUGGUAGUCCACGCCCUAAACGAUGUCAACUAGUUGUUGGGGAUUCAUUUCCUUAGUAACGUAGCUAACGCGUGAAGUUGACCGCCUGGGGAGUACGGUCGCAAGAUUAAAACUCAAAUGAAUUGACGGGGUCAUAGCUGUUUCCU
RNAcentral lists this ribosomal RNA (586 nucleotides) under uncultured bacterium. Its description in RNAcentral is "partial 16S ribosomal RNA". It matches the Rfam family "Bacterial small subunit ribosomal RNA", at positions 355 to 1375 of the family's 1533-position model. The record is from RNAcentral.